GUGAACGCUGGCGGUAGGCCUAACACAUGCAAGUCGAACGGCAGCACAGUAAGAGCUUGCUCUUACGGGUGGCGAGUGGCGGACGGGUGAGGAAUACAUCGGAAUCUACUUUUUCGUGGGGGAUAACGUAGGGAAACUUACGCUAAUACCGCAUACGACCUACGGGUGAAAGCAGGGGAUCUUCGGACCUUGCGCGAUUGAAUGAGCCGAUGUCGGAUUAGCUAGUUGGCGGGGUAAAGGCCCACCAAGGCGACGAUCCGUAGCUGGUCUGAGAGGAUGAUCAGCCACACUGGAACUGAGACACGGUCCAGACUCCUACGGGAGGCAGCAGUGGGGAAUAUUGGACAAUGGGCGCAAGCCUGAUCCAGCCAUACCGCGUGGGUGAAGAAGGCCUUCGGGUUGUAAAGCCCUUUUGUUGGGAAAGAAAAGCAGCAGGUUAAUACCCCGCUGUUCCGACGGUACCCAAAGAAUAAGCACCGGCUAACUUCAUG
RNAcentral lists this ribosomal RNA (491 nucleotides) under uncultured bacterium. RNAcentral's name for it is "partial 16S ribosomal RNA". It matches the Rfam family "Bacterial small subunit ribosomal RNA", at positions 29 to 507 of the family's 1533-position model. The record is from RNAcentral.